This 2083-nucleotide ribosomal RNA is filed under the name human gut metagenome. RNAcentral's name for it is "bacterial LSU rRNA". It matches the Rfam family "Bacterial large subunit ribosomal RNA", at positions 829 to 2897 of the family's 2925-position model. The record is from RNAcentral.
CCAAUCGAACUCGGAGAUAGCUGGUUCUCCCCGAAAUAGCUUUAGGGCUAGCCUCAGGUAGUAAGUAUAGGCGGUAGAGCACUGAUCGGGCUAGGGGCCAUAAAGGUUACCGAACCCUGUCAAACUCCGAAUGGAUAUACUGCAGAGCCUGGGAGUCAGACUACGAGUGAUAAGAUCCGUGGUCAAAAGGGAAACAGCCCAGACCACCGGCUAAGGUCCCAAAUGCCGUACUAAGUGGAAAAGGAUGUGGGGAUUCAUAAACAACCAGGAUGUUGGCUCAGAAGCAGCCACCAUUUAAAGAGUGCGUAAUAGCUCACUGGUCGAGAGUCCCUGCGCCGAAAAUUUCCGGGGCUAAAGUACGGAACCGAAGCCGUGGCUGUGCAUGUAAGUGCACGGGGUAGGGGAGCGUUGCCACAGGGGUGAAGCUGGUCUGGAAGGACUGGUGGACUUGUGGGAAGUGAGAAUGUUGGUAUGAGUAGCGAAAAGAAAGGUGAGAAUCCUUUCCACCGAAAGCAUAAGGAUUCCUGAGCAACGAUCGUCGUCUCAGGGUAAGUCGGGACCUAAUCCGAGGCAAAGAGCGUAGGAGAUGGACAACAGGUUGAUAUUCCUGUACCGGCAGCAAUUGUUUGAGCGAAGGAGUGACACAGAAGGGCAGGCAGGCGCGAGACUGGAUUGUCGCGUGCAAGCGUGUAGGGUAGUGUACAGGCAAAUCCGUACACUGAAAGCCUGAGGCGUUACGCGGAGCGAGCAGAGAUGCGAGCGAAGCUGCUGAUCCCACACUGUCGAGAAAAGCUUCUAGUGAGAGAGCUGCCGCCCGUACCGUAAACCGACACAGGUAUGCGGGGAGAGAAUCCUAAGGUGCGCGGGAGAACCCUCGUUAAGGAACUCGGCAAAAUGUACCCGUAACUUCGGGAUAAGGGUAGCCGUCUUGGUGAAGGAGCUUGCCUCUGGAGCUGAAGGCGGUCGCAGAGAAGAGGCCCAAGCGACUGUUUACCACAAACACAGGUGCCUGCUAAAGCGAAAGCUGACGUAUAGGUGCUGACACCUGCCCAGUGCUGGAAGGUUAAGGAAGGAUGUCCGGGCAACCAAAGCAUUCGACCGAAGCCCCAGUGAACGGCGGCCGUAACUAUAACGGUCCUAAGGUAGCGAAAUUCCUUGUCGGGUAAGUUCCGACCCGCACGAAAGGUGUAACGAUUUGGGCACUGUCUCAACGAGGGACCCGGUGAAAUUGAAAUACCUGUGAAGAUGCAGGUUACCCGCGACUGGACAGAAAGACCCCAUGGAGCUUUACUGUAACCUGACAUUGGGUUUUGUUGUAUUACGUACAGGAUAGGUGGGAGGCUUGGAAGGCUGGACGCUAGUCUGGCUGGAGCCGGCGUUGGGAUACCACCCUUGAUACAACGGAAUUCUAACCGAGAGAGUAACGAAAUCCGGGACAGUGUCAGGCGGGCAGUUUGACUGGGGCGGUCGCCUCCGAAAGAGUAACGGAGGCGCCCAAAGGUUCCCUCAGCGCGGCCGGAAAUCGCGCGAAGAGUGUAAAGGCAGAAGGGAGCUUGACUGCGAGCCAAACACGGCGAGCAGGUACGAAAGUAGGGCUUAGUGAUCCGGUGGUACCGAGUGGAAGGGCCAUCGCUCAACGGAUAAAAGCUACCCUGGGGAUAACAGGCUAAUCUCUCCCAAGAGUCCAUAUCGACGGGGAGGUUUGGCACCUCGAUGUCGGCUCAUCACAUCCUGGGGCUGAAGUCGGUCCCAAGGGUUGGGCUGUUCGCCCAUUAAAGUGGUACGUGAGCUGGGUUCAGAACGUCGUGAGACAGUUCGGUCCCUAUCCAUCGCGGGCGCAAGAGAUUUGAAGGGGUCUGCUCCUAGUACGAGAGGACCGGAGUGGACGGACCGCUGGUGUACCAGUUAUUCCGCCAGGAGUACAGCUGGGUAGCUACGUCCGGACUGGAUAAACGCUGAAAGCAUCUAAGCGUGAAGCCAUCCUUAAGAUGAGAUCUCUCACAGAGCAAUCUGGUAAGACACCUUAAAGAAGAUGAGGUAGAUAGGCCGGGAGUGUAAGUGCAGCAAUGUAUUGAGCUGACCG